Molecule: ribosomal RNA, 151 nt
Filed under: Phaseolus vulgaris (common bean)
Lineage: Eukaryota; Viridiplantae; Streptophyta; Magnoliopsida; Fabales; Fabaceae
Description: rRNA LSU_rRNA_eukarya
Rfam family: Eukaryotic large subunit ribosomal RNA
Source: RNAcentral
GUUCCAUGUGAACGGCACUUGCACAUGGGUUAGUCGAUCCUAAGGGACGGGGGAAGCCCGUCUGAUAGCGCUCCGAGCGCGUACUCCGAAAGGGAAUCGGGUUAAAAUUCCUGAACCGGGACGUGGCGGCUGACGGCAACGUUAGGGAGNN